Molecule: transfer RNA, 73 nt
Filed under: Operophtera brumata (winter moth)
Lineage: Eukaryota; Metazoa; Arthropoda; Insecta; Lepidoptera; Geometridae
Rfam family: tRNA
About the family: Transfer RNA (tRNA) molecules are approximately 80 nucleotides in length.
Source: Rfam by way of RNAcentral
CGUUCUAUUGCCGAAUUGGUAAAGGCAUCGUCGAUUACAGACGAGGGUGCAGGUUCGAGUCCCGCUGGAGUGA